This 548-nucleotide long non-coding RNA is filed under the name Struthio camelus australis. Its description in RNAcentral is "lncRNA (ENSSCUG00000008865.1)". The record is from RNAcentral. Lineage: Eukaryota; Metazoa; Chordata; Aves; Struthioniformes; Struthionidae.
AUACCUAAUACUUUGGUGUUUUCACCCUCCUUAGCUCUUGUCCCCGUCUGGAAUAAAGAACAUGCAGCUUAUCCUUGCCUGUCAGGUCAUUCAGAAAAAUGCUCUUUUGGUGGCUGUUCAGCAAGCUUCCUUUUGUUACCUGGUCCAGCCUACCCAUGCCCGGGACACAAAGGAAGGAAAUAUAAGACUAACAAGUUGGAGCAGUUCAGCAAGUGGAAGAAAUUCUGUGUCUGGGAAUGAAAUAGAGAAUCGGCUGCUGCAAGCAACCACAGCAGCCACCUCAUGUUCUCCUGGACGUUCUUCAGAUUUACACUGUACCAUAAACAGGCCUGCAGAAGCUUUUGUUUCCAUUCAGCUAGAGAAACUGGGGCCUCGAGACAUGAUGCUGAACGCAUUCAUUCAGAAGAAAGAAACCAUGGGUAGCAGAAUGCAAAACCCUGAUGAACUUCUGAAAUUCAAAAGAGACGUCAUUGUUGAAUAUUGUUAUAAGUAAGUAUAUCUGAUAAAAUAUAUCUAAUAUAUGUUCAAUAUAUAUCUUGUAUAGACAU